Molecule: long non-coding RNA, 421 nt
Organism: Cucurbita maxima (winter squash)
Lineage: Eukaryota; Viridiplantae; Streptophyta; Magnoliopsida; Cucurbitales; Cucurbitaceae
Exons: 2
Source: RefSeq, a predicted model, not a curated record
CAGUGCUCCUUUGACGACGUUUAUUCAGCGACUGGGCGAAAUACAUCUCCGACCCGAGGCAGCUCACCGGCUUCGGAGACUUGACCUCUCUGAAAGCCGACUUCAGGAGAUUGAGGCCUUUGAUGUACACAAUCCCUUGACUCCUGCAAUGCCCAAGUCUUUCACUUCCCAGUUAAGGGUAUUACAAAUUGAAACUAAUCCCAAUCACUCUUUACCACAGAGACGAACUUAAAAGAGAUCGAUUACAAACGUAUUGACGACAUGCAUCACCUGGUGCAAGGAUAUGAAUAUGAUUAUGCAAGCCCAAAUCCAAGAAAAAGGUCAACCAAAUCCUUGUUCUAUCAUUCUUGAAGCAAUAUUUUCUUGCUGUAUGAUUAUAAUCUUUUAUGCUGUGGAAUGAAUGCCUAUUUAUUGCCAUUGU